This 117-nucleotide small nuclear RNA is filed under the name Rosa chinensis. RNAcentral describes it as "sRNA RchiOBHm_Chr6g0288611". It matches the Rfam family "U5 spliceosomal RNA". From Rfam's summary of the family: U5 RNA is a component of both types of known spliceosome. The record is from Rfam by way of RNAcentral. Lineage: Eukaryota; Viridiplantae; Streptophyta; Magnoliopsida; Rosales; Rosaceae.
AGCCAUGCGCUGAGCACAGAGCGAACUAUUCUUUCGCCUUUUACUAAAGAAUACCGUGUGCACGGUGCUUUAAAUGGUAUACCCCUAUUUUUGAAAAGGUGCACCUCUGUGGGUGCC